GACGAACGCUGGCGGCGUGCUUAACACAUGCAAGUCGAACGGUGAAGCUCCAGCUUGCUGGAGUGGAUCAGUGGCGAACGGGUGAGUAACACGUGAGCAACCUGCCCCAGACUCUGGAAUAAGCGCUGGAAACGGCGUCUAAUACUGGAUACGAGAUCAAGCCGCAUGGUUAUGGUCUGGAAAGUUUUUCGGUUUGGGAUGGGCUCGCGGCCUAUCAGCUUGUUGGUGAGGUAAUGGCUAACCAAGGCGACGGCGGGUAGCCGGCCUGAGAGGGCGACCGGCCCCACUGGGACUGAGACACGGCCCAGACUCCUACGGGAGGCAGCAGUGGGGAAUAUUGCACAAUGGGCGAAAGCCUGAUGCAGCGACGCCGCGUGAGGGAUGACGGCCUUCGGGUUGUAAACCUCUUUCAGCAGGGAAGAAGCGAAAGUGACGGUACCUGCAGAAGAAGCACCGGCUAACUACGUG
This 468-nucleotide ribosomal RNA is filed under the name uncultured bacterium. RNAcentral's name for it is "partial 16S ribosomal RNA". It matches the Rfam family "Bacterial small subunit ribosomal RNA", at positions 28 to 507 of the family's 1533-position model. The record is from RNAcentral.